GACGAACGCUGGCGGCGUGCUUAACACAUGCAAGUCGAACGGUAAGGCCCUUCGGGGUACACGAGUGGCGAACGGGUGAGUAACACGUGGGUGAUCUGCCAUGCACUUCGGGAUAAGCCUGGGAAACUGGGUCUAAUACCGGAUAGGACUCCGGACUGCAAGGUCUGGGGUGGCAAGCUUUUGCGGUGGGGGAUGGGCGCGGGGCCUAUAAGCUUGUUGGGGGGGUGAUGGCCUACCAAUGCGACGAGGGGUAGCCGGACGGAGAGGGUGGCCGGCCACACUGGGACUGGGAUAUGGCCCAGACUCCUACGGGAGGCAGGAGUGGGAAAUAGUGCACAAUGGGCGCAAGCCUGAUGCAGGGACGCCGCGUGAGGGAUGAGGGCCUUCGGGUUGUAAACCUCUUUCAGCAUCGACGAAGCGAAAGUGACGGUAGGUGCAGAAGAAGGACCGGCCAACUACGUGCCAGCCGCCGCCGUAA
RNAcentral lists this ribosomal RNA (478 nucleotides) under uncultured bacterium. RNAcentral describes it as "partial 16S ribosomal RNA". It matches the Rfam family "Bacterial small subunit ribosomal RNA", at positions 28 to 523 of the family's 1533-position model. The record is from RNAcentral.